This 420-nucleotide ribosomal RNA is filed under the name Triticum aestivum (bread wheat). RNAcentral describes it as "partial small subunit ribosomal RNA". Lineage: Eukaryota; Viridiplantae; Streptophyta; Magnoliopsida; Poales; Poaceae. The record is from RNAcentral.
AUGGAUCAGCCAUGGCCACCGGCCGCCGCGCCGCCCACCACGACGAGCUGCUCAGCACUCUCCUCGCCGCCGCGGGCAACGGCCGGGAGGAGGAGGAGGACGCGCGGGAGGCGCGGCAGCAUCAGAAUCAACGCGUCGAAUCCGGCCUCGGCUUACGGCGACACGGACGUGGAUGCUCUGGCUGCGACCGCCGUGCUCUAUGCCCCGACCCUGCUCGCCGAGUCCGUCCGACCUGCUGAUCUCGCCGGCCAGCGACGGGAGGAGGGUGGCAAGCUGAGCCGGAGGAGAGCGAGGCGUCCACGUUACUUUAAGUGCAAAGCAGAGAAACACACACACACUCAGGCACGAGCACAAGCUCUCCUCGCCUAUGGGUACGGCGCCGCCGCCGCCAUGCGCGGCCGCGCGGAGCGGAGGCCGUGA